This 450-nucleotide ribosomal RNA is filed under the name uncultured Alcaligenes sp. Its description in RNAcentral is "bacterial SSU rRNA". It matches the Rfam family "Bacterial small subunit ribosomal RNA", at positions 354 to 796 of the family's 1533-position model. Lineage: Bacteria; Pseudomonadati; Pseudomonadota; Betaproteobacteria; Burkholderiales; Alcaligenaceae. The record is from RNAcentral.
GUGGGGAAUUUUGGACAAUGGGGGAAACCCUGAUCCAGCCAUCCCGCGUGUAUGAUGAAGGCCUUCGGGUUGUAAAGUACUUUUGGCAGAGAAGAAAAGGUAUCCCCUAAUACGGGAUACUGCUGACGGUAUCUGCAGAAUAAGCACCGGCUAACUACGUGCCAGCAGCCGCGGUAAUACGUAGGGUGCAAGCGUUAAUCGGAAUUACUGGGCGUAAAGCGUGUGUAGGCGGUUCGGAAAGAAAGAUGUGAAAUCCCAGGGCUCAACCUUGGAACUGCAUUUUUAACUGCCGAGCUAGAGUAUGUCAGAGGGGGGUAGAAUUCCACGUGUAGCAGUGAAAUGCGUAGAUAUGUGGAGGAAUACCGAUGGCGAAGGCAGCCCCCUGGGAUAAUACUGACGCUCAGACACGAAAGCGUGGGGAGCAAACAGGAUUAGAAACCCUAGUAGUCC